UCUGGCGGCCAUAGCGAUUUGGACCCACCCCUUCCCAUCUCGAACAGGGCCGUGAAACGAAUCUGCGCCAAUGAUAGUGUGCUUCUCGCAUGCGAAAGUAGGUCACCGCCAGGC
Molecule: ribosomal RNA, 114 nt
Filed under: Methylophilaceae bacterium
Lineage: Bacteria; Pseudomonadati; Pseudomonadota; Betaproteobacteria; Nitrosomonadales; Methylophilaceae
Also listed under: 1 other name
Source: RNAcentral